This 721-nucleotide long non-coding RNA is filed under the name Ceratitis capitata (Mediterranean fruit fly). Its description in RNAcentral is "uncharacterized LOC110118007, transcript variant X4". The record is from RNAcentral. Lineage: Eukaryota; Metazoa; Arthropoda; Insecta; Diptera; Tephritidae.
ACUUGCUGUAAAGGAGAAAUGUUACAAAGAAAUACAAUUUAAAUAUUGGCGUCUUUUAUUGCGGUCGUAAAAUCAUUAAAAAAUAGUAAAAAGCUAUUUAGAUUUAAUUAAACGAGUAUUUAACCCUUAGUUGACUAAGAAAUAUUUUAAGUUUUAAAAAUUUGGUAUUUACCAAGUGAAACCAGGUCGAUCUCCAAAUCCCAAGAGAGUGUAGGCUUUCCACUUCCUCUACAUCCACCAACGUUUACUAGAUCGAAUACUCUUACUAUUUUCUUCAACAAUAGAUAAAAUAAGUCAGAUGAUGAGAGACCAUCUUGUUGGGUACCGUACGGCCCGGAAAGCUCCUCUUAAAUUCUGACUGCUGCUGCUCUUCUGCUGUUGUUCAGCGUCAGUUUACACAGUCGUAUAAGUUUUGCAAAAUCACCAAAUUCAGUCAUAGCGGCGUUAAGCGAUCGGCGCGGGAGUUACUUCCCCAUUUUUGAUGCCGCCAGUCCACUUAUUGCAACAAAACAGACCUUUCGCUUUUAAGAGCCACUGAGGGGAAAAUAAAGUUAAGAGGAAAGUAUAGCAUCUCUUGCCAAUCGAUCUUGAAAGCAUUGAGCGAAGCAAAGUCGCUUCGGAUGAUUAAGAGACUUCUUGAACCAAUUCCACGCCAUAAGCCUUCAUACCGAGGAUUUUAUGCAAAAACCCGGUCUAAAAAGUAUCAGUAGCAUUGAAAUUC